AUCCAUGGCCAUAGGACUUUGAAAGCAUUGCAUCCUGUCCAAUCUGUGCAGUUAACCAAAGGGCUGCCUAGUUAGUAUCAUGGUGGGGGACCAUAUGGGAAUCCUAGGUGCUGUGGUUU
This 119-nucleotide ribosomal RNA is filed under the name Paxillus involutus ATCC 200175. Lineage: Eukaryota; Fungi; Basidiomycota; Agaricomycetes; Boletales; Paxillaceae. The record is from RNAcentral.